UCGCUGAGGAUCAUUACUCUUCGAGUUUGCUGCGUUGCUCGAUUAGAUCUGUCGACCGAGCGAAUAUGACUCCGCGCUCGCAACCGGUCUUUUUACAAGCUGCAAUUUGCUGCUGACCUAAAAAAGCCUGCGUACGCAGUAAAAAACGACUUCCAAAAAUUGUAGGACCCAUUAGUCGAAAUUACAUUCCACCGAAACGAUUGUAAAAGUCUUACUGAAAUGUAGCUACGUUCAUUGCACCUGACGUAUCAUAAUUUCUCGUAUUAUCAUAAUUACCCGUAUAGAAUAUAUUGAGUCCAGCAGUAGUUACCCAACAUGUUUUCGUCCCGAUAUACCUCUCUCUCUGACAACGUUUCUCAAUUACCAUCAAAUCCUAGUGGAAAUUCGUUCGCCUUGCUCAUCACUCAAAUUACUCGGAAAGGAAUACUACGACAUGCUAUAUCUUAAAAAUUCGACCUUACGGAGUCUUUCUAGCGACAGCGUCCUAAAAAUACGUUAGAAAAAAAAUAUUUCUCAUUGAUGUAAGAAAAACGAGUUAGUGAAGUUUGAGAUCUAUUACAUCUCUUAAUACAAUACUUGGCACUUGAAAUACUUACGGGCACGAAGUGCAUCUACGAAGUAAUUUGCAAGCUUCUAGAGGCACGUAUACUUUAAUGUCAGGAGCUUGACAAAGUUCGACGCUUAAUUGACCCACGAUCGUCCUAAUAUAACUUGGCUUCUGUCCACAUGCGUGCUCCUCUAUUUGGACGAAUUAGAGAAGCCAGACGUUCGAACUUGGCGUAAUUAAACGGCGGAUGCACGCUGACCGAAAAUUAAAUUUCUCCACGUUGGCACGUCGAUCUCGCUUGGAAUUAGUUUGUGGCAAAUUAUGACGUAACUCCGUCAAACUAUUUGACGUGGCGCCUCUCCUCGUAUUA
This is a long non-coding RNA of Trachymyrmex septentrionalis, 917 nucleotides long. RefSeq lists it as uncharacterized. The transcript is spliced from 3 exons. The record is from RefSeq and is a predicted model, not a curated record. Lineage: Eukaryota; Metazoa; Arthropoda; Insecta; Hymenoptera; Formicidae.